GGACAACCUACCCUAUGGAGGGGGAUAACCCCGGGAAACUGGGGAUAAUACCCCAUAGACUAUGGAUGCUGGAAUGCUCUGUAGCCAAAAGGUCAGCCGCCAUAGGAUGGGUCUGCGGCCGAUUAGGUAGUUGUUGGGGUAACGGCCCAACAAGCCUGUAAUCGGUACGGGUUGUGGGAGCAAGAGCCCGGAGAUGGAUUCUGAGACACGAAUCCAGGCCCUACGGGGCGCAGCGGGCGCGAAAACUUUACAAUGCGGGAAACCGUGAUAAGGGAACUCCGAGUGCCCGUUAAAUCGGGCUGUCCAUCUGUGUAAAUAACAGGUGAAGAAAGGGCCGGGCAAGACCGGUGCCAGCCGCCGCGGUAAUACCGGCGGCUCGAGUGGUGGCCACUAUUACUGGGCUUAAAGCGUUCGUAGCUGGUUUGUUAAGUCUCUGGGGAAAUCUUCCGGCUUAACCGGAAGGCGUCUCAGGGAUACUGGCAGACUAGGGACCGGAAGAGGUGAGGGGUACUCCAGGGGUAGGAGUGAAAUCCUGUAAUCCUUGGGGGACCACCUGUGGCGAAGGCGCCUCACCAGGACGGCUCCGACAGUGAGGGACGAAAGCUGGGGGGGCAAACCGGAUUAGAUACCCGGGUAGUCCCAGCCGUAAACGAUGUGCGUUAGGUGUAUCGGUGACCACGAGUCACCGAGGUGCCGAAGAGAAAUCGUGAAACGUACCGCCUGGGAAGUACGGUCGCAAGGCUGAAACUUAA
RNAcentral lists this ribosomal RNA (752 nucleotides) under uncultured archaeon. RNAcentral describes it as "bacterial SSU rRNA". It matches the Rfam family "Archaeal small subunit ribosomal RNA", at positions 102 to 859 of the family's 1478-position model. The record is from RNAcentral.